CCUACGGGAGGCAGCAGUGGGGAAUAUUGCACAAUGGGCGCAAGCCUGAUGCAGCCAUGCCGCGUGUGUGAAGAAGGCCUUCGGGUUGUAAAGCACUUUCAGUGGGGAGGAAGGCGGUGAGGUUAAUAACCUCAUCGAUUGACGUUACCCGCAGAAGAAGCACCGGCUAACUCCGUGCCAGCAGCCGCGGUAAUACGGAGGGUGCAAGCGUUAAUCGGAAUUACUGGGCGUAAAGCGCACGCAGGCGGUCUGUCAAGUCGGAUGUGAAAUCCCCGGGCUCAACCUGGGAACUGCAUUCGAAACUGGCAGGCUAGAGUCUUGUAGAGGGGGGUAGAAUUCCAGGUGUAGCGGUGAAAUGCGUAGAGAUCUGGAGGAAUACCGGUGGCGAAGGCGGCCCCCUGGACAAAGACUGACGCUCAGGUGCGAAAGCGUGGGGAGCAAACAGGAUUAGAUACCCGUGUAGUC
This 465-nucleotide ribosomal RNA is filed under the name uncultured Klebsiella sp. RNAcentral describes it as "bacterial SSU rRNA". It matches the Rfam family "Bacterial small subunit ribosomal RNA", at positions 338 to 795 of the family's 1533-position model. Lineage: Bacteria; Pseudomonadati; Pseudomonadota; Gammaproteobacteria; Enterobacterales; Enterobacteriaceae. The record is from RNAcentral.